RNAcentral lists this ribosomal RNA (496 nucleotides) under uncultured bacterium. RNAcentral describes it as "partial 16S ribosomal RNA". It matches the Rfam family "Bacterial small subunit ribosomal RNA", at positions 28 to 506 of the family's 1533-position model. The record is from RNAcentral.
GAUGAACGCUGGCGGCGUGCCUAAUACAUGCAAGUCGAGCGAACAGACGAGGAGCUUGCUCCUCUGACGUUAGCGGCGGACGGGUGAGUAACACGUGGAUAACCUACCUAUAAGACUGGGAUAACUUCGGGAAACCGGAGCUAAUACCGGAUAAUAUAUUGAACCGCAUGGUUCAAUAGUGAAAGACGGUUUUGCUGUCACUUAUAGAUGGAUCCGCGCCGCAUUAGCUAGUUGGUAAGGUAACGGCUUACCAAGGCAACGAUGCGUAGCCGACCUGAGAGGGGGAUCGGCCACACUGGAACGGGGACAGGGCCCAAACCCCAAGGGGAGGCAGCAGUGGGGAAUCUUCCGCAAGGGGCGAAAGCCUGACGGAGCAACGCCGCGGGAGUGAAGAAGGCCUUCGGAUCGUAAAACCUUGUUAUUAGGGAAAAAAAAAUGUGUAAGUAACUAUGCACGUCUUGACGGUACCAAAUCAGAAAGCCACGGCUAACUACGU